UGUUCUCUCUCGCCAUCGCCAUAUUGAUAUAAAAGUUUGUCUUGUGAAAUACACGAUGUGCAGUAUUCCUGUAUGAUGUAGUUAUCCAAUCCUUCUUGUUGUGUCAAAUAUAAAUUUUAAUUUUUAGUUAUUAAAUUCUACGUGAAAAGAUCAUAUUAAUACAUAUAAUUAUAUAUUGAAAGCUAGCUUUUGAAUUAAAACCAUGUGAAUUGAAUCUUCGGAUAUAUAAUAGUAACGUCAAUAAAUUUUGGUUUAGGUUUUCAAAUACACAUUUGCAUUGAAACUUGAAGCAGUUUUAUUUUAAGGACGCUACUGAUUUUCACAUACGUAUUUGCAUAGAAUCUUGAAGUUUAUUUUUAAGAAGGCUUCUAACAAGUUUAAAGUUAUCAAGAAUUUUGUUUCAUAUAAUUCUGCUAUUAGAGAAACAUAAUAAGUUUUAAAUUCUGGAAAGAUAUUUGCAUUUUUGAGCAUACGGCAUUUUCCGGGACCGCUAAACUUUUUAUAAGAUUAAAACGAUUUAAAUUGUAUCUUCAGCUAUAAUGCAUUAAUUUUGGUUUGAAUGUCCACACACAUCAAUGCAUUAAUGGUUGAAAUAAUAAUUCUAUU
Non-coding RNA from Nylanderia fulva, 606 nucleotides. The record is from RefSeq and is a predicted model, not a curated record. NCBI's taxonomy places the organism in Eukaryota, Metazoa, Arthropoda, Insecta, Hymenoptera, Formicidae.